Molecule: small RNA, 1284 nt
Filed under: Pongo abelii (Sumatran orangutan)
Lineage: Eukaryota; Metazoa; Chordata; Mammalia; Primates; Hominidae
Description: retained intron
Source: RNAcentral
GGCUUCGAUAACCGGGGCCUGGAGCCCGGCCACCGCUAUGUCCUCUUUGUGCUUGCUGUGCUUCAGAAGAGCGAGCCUACUUUUGCAGCCAGUCCCUUCUCAGACCCCUUCCAGCUGGAUAACCCGGACCCCCAGCCCAUCGUGGAUGGCGAGGAGGGGCUUAUCUGGGUGAUCGGGCCUGUGCUGGCCGUGGUCUUCAUAAUCUGCAUUGUCAUUGCUAUCCUGCUCUACAAGAAGUAAGCCCCAUGUCCUCCCUGACUCGACAGCAGGGAGGGCUUCCUGGAAAAGAAGGGAGGAGUUGUCUCAGAGAAUCAUCACUAAAGGUCUCUGUCGUACACAUGGGGAAACCGAAGUUCAGAGAGGUUAAGCCACUUGAUCAAGGUCACACAGCAUGGGAAUGGCAGAGCUAGGACUCAAAGCAGGCUAGUGGCUUGGCUUCUCCUCUUAACCCCUAUCUUCAACUCAGCAACUAGAUUUGGGGUAGAGGCUGCCUGUGUCCAGUUCAAUGAGGACAGCAAUUGUAGUGGCCCCAUGGGGCACGUCCCAGCUUAGAAAGAGAGGGCUGAGAUAAGCCUCCUUGUGGUGUCAGUAGGCAGGGGAACAAACAGGAAAGAUGAGCGCCAUUUUCCAGAGGAGACCAAAGCUCAGAGAGGUUAAGGAAGCCACUGAGAGUCACAGAACAAGCCCUUUAUGGCCAGCACGCCCUCACCUUUCUUCUUUUUUUCCCCCUUCUCUCUCACCUGUGUCUGCUUUCGGGAACAGCAAGCCCGACAGGUAAGAAUCAGCCCUCCCCGCUGGAGGCUUCAGGCAAGAGGAGGAGGACAGGGAAUGGGUUGAUACUGUGCCCACAGGAGAGGGGAUGCCCGGCUGCCCCCACAGCUUGUACACGUAUCUGUACUUGGUCCUGGAAACCCCAGUCAUACAGGUCCACGGUCCUUUUCCUGCCAUGCAUUCCUGGGGCCUGAAUUGUGUUCACACAUGAACAUGUGCCAGUGCUAACUGGACUGUUCGCUUGCUUCUCCUAAAGUAAACGCAAGGACUCAGAACCCCGCACCAAAUGCCUCCUGAACAAUGCCGACCUCGCCCCUCACCACCCCAAGGACCCUGUGGAAAUGAGACGCAUUAACUUCCAGACUCCAGGCAUGCUUAGCCACCCGCCAAUCCCCAUCGCAGACAUGGCGGAGCACACGGAGCGGCUCAAGGCCAACGACAGCCUCAAGCUCUCCCAGGAGUAUGAGUCCAUUGACCCUGGACAGCAGUUCACGUGGGAACAUUCCAACCUGG